CUCCACAAAGACAAGAUGACUGCCAACUGCUCACUUAUGUCUCAGAUGAACCUGGAUUAAAUACUUGCAUUUUGAAGAAAAGAGAGGACAUGGAAGUUGCCUGUACCGUCAAGAAGCCGACGACCGCAGCCUCUGAGGUCGAAGUCCACCCUGGGCAAGGCCAGCACCGACCGGAAGCCUAAGGCCCCUCCCUGAGGGGCAGGUGACAGGACACGGACCUGGUCAUCCUCUGGCCCUUGCUUCAGAUGCUCCUGGGGAAGUUACAGGAAUCGGCCGUGUGCGAAGGCGGAGGUCCCCGCCGG
Bos taurus (domestic cattle) is the source of this 302-nucleotide long non-coding RNA. NCBI's taxonomy places the organism in Eukaryota, Metazoa, Chordata, Mammalia, Artiodactyla, Bovidae. The record is from Ensembl.